Molecule: long non-coding RNA, 585 nt
Filed under: Numida meleagris (helmeted guineafowl)
Lineage: Eukaryota; Metazoa; Chordata; Aves; Galliformes; Numididae
Description: lncRNA (ENSNMEG00000009427.1)
Source: RNAcentral
GAGAAAGAUGUAUUUUUCUAGGCAUUCCGCCCAGAAUGAGACAAUUCAUUUUGCAUGUCACUGUGAAUGACACACAACCUUUAAAAAAGGUUUAAAAAGCCCUCUCUGAUGCACUCCCCUACUCUGUAGAAGAGGCUCUCUUCAUCGCUGCCUGUGAAUGCCAACAAACAGCCAUCCUACCUGCCAGGAGGGCCAUUGUUUUGACAGGAAAUGAGAAACGACUCCCUCUGUGGUGCUUUCAGUAACACUAGGAAUAUAAUUUGAAACACCUCGACAUGCAAAUUUCCAACACUUACGUUCAACAAAUACUUUGAUUUCACAGUAGCUUAUGUGCUCAAACCCUUAUGAAAUUAAAUAUUAAAAAUGUUGUUUCAUAAUAUUAUUUCAAAUAUGUUUUUAAUCCACACUUGAUUUAUUUCUGCAAAAGCCUUAAUUUAAUCAAAUUGAUAGGACAUCUGGCCCUGUUCUUUCAUAGGAAAGCGUAUGAAUUCUAUAGUGGCUUUGUCAUAAGCUAAAUCAUCAGAAGAAAUUUCAUUAAAAUGUGUAGUUAAUAAAGUCCUUAUUCACUCUAUUAGGUAUUUAGUC